GAAGAUCGUAAGAUAUACAAAGAGAAAAAUGAAAAAGAACCUCGAACAUUAGGGUUUUCAGAGAAAGGUCUCGAAAUGGCGAAAAAAGCCUGAACGGACUCAUCAGAGUCGGCAAAGGACUUAAGGCCUUAAGACUUGCUGGAGAAAGGCCGGACACAGCUACAAAAGACCCCAUUGGAGGACCCCUUGUCCAGUCAUCUUUGAAAUAAGGCUUCGAUCCUCGAACCAAAAGGCCAGGAGAGGUGAGGAGUGAACGAAUAAGGGAGUUUCAGGUCCAGGACGGCCAUGAACGCUGGUGAAAAGGGCCGGAGACAACUAGGGAUUUUAGAGAACUUAGAGAGCUUUAGAGAUUCAAAGGUGGCCGGUUUGGAAAAGUGACUAGGGCUUGGGGGUAUUAGGGAUUUAAUUUAGGUAAGUGUAUUGUGGGCCGUUGAUCUGUCAGAUCAACGGCCGGGAUUAGAAAGAUGACCGGGUGGGCUAGAUUUAAGUGGAUUUGAUCGGGUGAUUUUGGAUUUGGGUCGGGAAAUUGUGGGCUAAUUUUGGGGUUGAUUUUGGAUUUCAAUUUGGGCUAGAAUUGAAAGAUUAAAG
Molecule: long non-coding RNA, 588 nt
Filed under: Nicotiana benthamiana
Lineage: Eukaryota; Viridiplantae; Streptophyta; Magnoliopsida; Solanales; Solanaceae
Description: long non-coding RNA (NBEN_LNC031946)
Source: RNAcentral